CUAUAUUGGACAGGGCCACCCAA
Molecule: non-coding RNA, 23 nt
Filed under: Arabidopsis thaliana (thale cress)
Lineage: Eukaryota; Viridiplantae; Streptophyta; Magnoliopsida; Brassicales; Brassicaceae
Source: RNAcentral